This is a long non-coding RNA of Eriocheir sinensis (Chinese mitten crab), 1723 nucleotides long. RefSeq lists it as uncharacterized. The transcript has 3 exons. The record is from RefSeq and is a predicted model, not a curated record. NCBI's taxonomy places the organism in Eukaryota, Metazoa, Arthropoda, Malacostraca, Decapoda, Varunidae.
ACGCACCUAUAAUUUGCAUAAAGCUUUGACAGACUCACACACACACACACACACACACACACACACACAUACACACACACAGGAAACAUAAAUAACCUGCAAAAAUAGAAGAAAAAAAUAUAUAUGCAACAAGCUACUCUGUAUCUGGCUUUUUCUUCCUCUUUCUAUAUCUAUUCAUGGUUCUAAUAUAUGUAAAAAAGAUCAUUAGUUAUCCCUACACAAAACCAAAAAAUCACUCAGCUAUGGAUAAAAAUUUGCAUGGGACACUGAUAUAUACUUACAAAAACAUUAAAAAAAGACUAGACCCGUAUUCUCAAACGUUUCAAAGCUCACACAAACGCAUAUACACACAUUUUGGCUUUAAUAGAGGUUGUGUGUCUUAGUAUUUCCAUGGGCAGUUUUAUGAGCCUAGUGAUAGUUUGACAAGGCUUUGGUGGAGGUUGUGUUAGUAUUUCCAUGGGUAGUUUUAUGAGCCUAGUGAUAGUUUGACAAGGCUUUGGUAGAGGUGGUUGAGUUAGUAUUUCCAUGGGCAGUUUUAUGAGCCUAGUGAUAGUUUGACAAGGCUUUGGUAGAGGUGGUUGAGUUAGUAUUUCCAUGGGUAGUUUUAUGAGCCUAGUGAUAGUAUGACAAGGCAUUGGUAGAGGUGGUUGUGUUAGUAUUUCCAUGGGUAGUUUUAUGAACCUAGUGAUAGUUUGACAAGGCUUUGGUAGAGGUGGUUGUGUUAGUAUCUCCAUGGGUAGUUUUAUGAGCCUAGUGAUAGUUUGACAAGGCUUUGGUAGAGGUGGUUGUGUUAGUAUUGCCAUGAGUAGUUUUAUGAGAGUAUUGAUAGUUUGACAAGUCUUCUGCACCAUGAACGUGAAAAAACACUCAUUAGAACCCGACUGAUCUCCUUUGUGACCUUAAGAAAUAGCUGUCGUGGGAGCCUAAAGCGUUUGAGAAUAAGGACAUAGCCUCACAGCGGACGUGGACUGCUUCCGUUUCUUCGUCUCUCUCUACAAGUAUACAUACCCAAAAAUUCACGGCUUGCGUCACGGAUACAUAAAAAUCAGGACUACGCAGAUACACACAAAAACAUACAGAAAAACAUAACACAUUACACAUAUACAUAAAAAACGAAUAUUGUGAGAAAGAAUGGAGAAAUUGUGCUAUGGAAAAGUGGUUAUAUAAGGAUCGUGUCCCAAAAAUGGUUCAAAGACUAAAGUGACGAGGAAUGCAAAAAAAGAAAAUAAAAGGAGAUUCACACGAAGCACCGAUACACCGAAGCAGCGAGACUCGAAGCACUAUGAAGCAAAAAAUCUUAGCCCAAACAGCACACGAGGAAGACUGAUAAUGGAGAGCCGAUGAAAGCGAACACAAGAACAAGAAAAACAGCAACAAUGAUGAUAAUUCGAUAGAAAAAUAGGUGCAAAAUAUUUCACUGUGAAUAAUAAAAAAACAAAAAAGAAGCACUGGAUAUUUAAAAGCCAAAAAAUGCAGCUAUAAAAAAGACACUCAUAAAAACAACAACAGCAACAGCAGCAACAACAACAAGAUCACCAAAAGCUUCAGCAGUGUACGGAAAAGCGAGAUAGACAAAAAAAAGGAGAAAAAAACGAAGCCGCCUCGAAACAAACCAACUCGAGGCUUCAAAAAAUGCUUCAAAAAUCCAAAAAAGUGAAAAAAUGAAACUCGAAAAUUUUAAAGUUCGAAGCUUCAAAAGAAGAUUCGAAUAGACAUGCGAAGC